RNAcentral lists this transfer RNA (84 nucleotides) under Planctomycetota bacterium. RNAcentral describes it as "Planctomycetes bacterium (freshwater metagenome) tRNA-OTHER". Lineage: Bacteria; Pseudomonadati; Planctomycetota. The record is from RNAcentral.
GCAACUGUCUUUUCAGCGGUUACGUCGGGGAAGCAACGGCCUUCCAGCCGUAGGUUCCAGGUUCGAGUCCUGGCAGGCGCGCCA